GGCGGAGUAGCUCAGUUGGUUAGAGCAGCGGGAUCAUAAUCCGCGUGUCGGGGGUUCGAGUCCCUUCUUCGCUACCA
RNAcentral lists this transfer RNA (77 nucleotides) under Candidatus Nesciobacter abundans. Its description in RNAcentral is "tRNA-Met". It matches the Rfam family "tRNA". Rfam says of the family: Transfer RNA (tRNA) molecules are approximately 80 nucleotides in length. Their secondary structure includes four short double-helical elements and three loops (D, anti-codon, and T loops). The record is from RNAcentral. Lineage: Bacteria; Pseudomonadati; Pseudomonadota; Alphaproteobacteria; Holosporales; Holosporaceae.